AGCUUUAUUGGUGCAAAAAACAACAUUUCAACCCUACAGGGUCAAAAUGUUGCUGUUUUUUGCACCAAUAAAGCU
Molecule: non-coding RNA, 75 nt
Organism: Pelobates cultripes (western spadefoot toad)
Lineage: Eukaryota; Metazoa; Chordata; Amphibia; Anura; Pelobatidae
Source: the annotation of a GenBank genome assembly